RNAcentral lists this small nuclear RNA (136 nucleotides) under Sorex araneus (European shrew). RNAcentral's name for it is "U1 spliceosomal RNA (ENSSARG00000019451.1)". Lineage: Eukaryota; Metazoa; Chordata; Mammalia; Eulipotyphla; Soricidae. The record is from RNAcentral.
GUACUUCCCUGGUAGGAAAGAUAUCAUGAUCACAAGGUGGCUUUCCUAGGGAGAGGUUUACUAUUGAGCUCCGGGUGGACUGAACCCCCGAUGCGAUGUGGGAAACUCAGCUACUUGUGGGGAGACUGAGUCCCUU